Non-coding RNA from Rattus norvegicus (Norway rat), 348 nucleotides. NCBI's taxonomy places the organism in Eukaryota, Metazoa, Chordata, Mammalia, Rodentia, Muridae. The record is from the annotation of a RefSeq genome assembly.
AUGGAGAGGAACCUGGGAGCUGUGCUGGGGAUUCUGUGGGUGCAGAUUUGCUGGGUGAAAGGAGAUUCAGUGGAGCAGAGUCCUUCAGCCUUGAGUCUACACGAGGGAACCAGUUCUGUUCUGAGAUGCAAUUUUUCUAUCACCAUUACAACUGUGCAGUGGUUCCGACAGAAUCCCAGGGGCAGCCUCAUCAGUCUGUUCUUCCUGGCUUCAGGAACAAAGGAUAACGGGAGAUUAAACUCAACAUUCAGUUCUAAGGAGCGCUACAGCGCCCUGCACAUCAGCAUUGCACAGCUGGAGGACUCAGGCACCUACUUCUGUGCUGCUGAGGCACAGUGCUCCCAGUGA